CUGCUUCACUUUCUUCUUGGAGCCCUAAAUCUCUCCAGCAUGUUCUGGGCUGCCAUUGUGACCCUACUAGUGAUGUGGUGCACAGGUUCAGACUCUCAGCCUACCCUGUCCCAGGCAUCAUCAGCAUCAGUAGCACCAGGGAACACAGUGAAGCUCUCCUGUGUCAUUAGCGGUGGAUCCAGCUUCACUAGCUACAUGCAAUGGUACCAGCAGAAGCCUGGGAAUCCCCCACGGUGGCUCUUAAGUUAUUAUUCAGAUUCCGACAAGUACCAGGGCUCGGGAGUCCCCUCUCGUUUCUCUGGUUCCAAAGACUCAUCAGGUAGCACCGGAUAUCUAACCAUCGCGGGAGUCCAGGCAGAAGACGAGGCUGAUUAUUACUGUGCUACAGCUCAUGGCAGUGGCAGCAGCUUUCAGUGGAUCUUUGGAGCAGGGACCCAGCUGACCGUCACUGGUCAGCCAGCAUCGCGUCCCACAAUGAACGUCUUCCCUCCAUCGCAAGAAGAGUUGCGAACUACAGACAAGGCCACCUUGGCAUGUUUGGUGAGUGACUUCAUGCCAGGUGCAGCCCAAGUCAUCUGGCUGGCUGAUGGCUCCCCGAUCUCUAGUGGUGUGGAGACGACCAAGCCGACAAAGCACAACGAUAAGUACAUGCUCAGCAGUUACCUGACCAUGGAAUCUUCAGAAUGGGAGAAGCAUAAUGAGUACACCUGCAAGGUGACACACGAAGGGUCCGAGUACCGGAAGACGGUGAACCGUUCGCAGUGAUAAGAACUCUGCUGCAUGCAGGGCUUUGCUGCAUCCUGAUCUCUGUUGCAGAAGGAGAGAAAUGUCACAUGUUCUCUCCCCCUCCCGCCCUCCCCAGUUUUCCUUCUCUCCCCACAAUUUUCAAAAACUUUCCCCUUUCCCUUUCCCCCCAGCUUCAUAGGCAUCCUUGUUAGUUCUAAUGAAUAAUAAAAGCAGACUCGUGCAAUUUUGCUGUCUCUGUAUAGAUUCUCUCCAGUGGCAAUUUAAAAAAUGAUUGUGAGAUGACAUCUGUCAGUCAAUAAAACAAGACAGUGCUUUAUCAUGU
Molecule: non-coding RNA, 1069 nt
Organism: Eublepharis macularius
Lineage: Eukaryota; Metazoa; Chordata; Lepidosauria; Squamata; Eublepharidae
Source: the annotation of a RefSeq genome assembly